CAGUCGCCGCGGUAAUGCGAAGGGGGCUAGCGUUGUUCGGAAUCACUGGGCGUAAAGGGAGCGUAGGCGGCGUGGUAAGUCAGAUGUGAAAUCCCGGGGCUCAACCCCGGAACUGCAUCCGAUACUGCCAUGCUAGAGGAUUGGAGAGGUAGCUGGAAUUCUUGGUGUAGCAGUGAAAUGCGUGGAGAUCAAGAGGAACACUCGUGGCGAAAGCGAGCUACUGGACAAUAACUGACGCUGAGGCUCGAAGGCCAGGGUAGCGAAAGGGAUUAGAUACCCCUGUAGUCCCUGUCUCUUAUAC
This 301-nucleotide ribosomal RNA is filed under the name uncultured bacterium. Its description in RNAcentral is "partial 16S ribosomal RNA". It matches the Rfam family "Bacterial small subunit ribosomal RNA", at positions 509 to 807 of the family's 1533-position model. The record is from RNAcentral.